CACAUGCAAGUCGAACGGGAUCUGCGUGGCCUUUGUGGUUGUGUGGUGAGAGUGGCGAACGGGUGAGUAACACGUGAGUAACCUGCCUUUUUCUUUGGGAUAACGCUCAGAAAUGGGUGCUAAUACUGGAUGUUCUGCGCUUUCCGCAUGGGGGGUGUGGGAAAGGGGCCUUUGUGGUUUCUGGAGGGAGAUGGGCUCGCGGCUUAUCAGCUUGUUGGUGGGGUGAUGGCUUACCAAGGCUUUGACGGGUAGCCGGCCUGAGAGGGUGGGCGGUCACAUUGGGACUGAGAUACGGCCCAGACUCCUACGGGAGGCAGCAGUGGGGAAUUUUGCACAAUGGGGGGAACCUUGAUGCAGCGACGCCGCGUGAGGGAUGGAGGCCUUCGGGUUGUGAACCUCUUUCGCUCGUGUGCAAGCCGCUAUUUGGGUAGUGGUGAGUGUAGCGGGUAAAGAAGCGCCGGCUAACUACGUGCCAGCAGCCGCGGUAAUACGUAGGGCGCGAGCGUUGUCCGGAUUUAUUGGGCGUAAAGGGCUUGUAGGCGGUUUGUCGCGCCUGUCGUGUAAUCCUCUGGCUUAACUGGGGGUGUGCGGUGGGUACGGGCAGGCUUGAGUGCGGUAGGGGAGAUUGGAAUUCCUGGUGUAGCGGUGGAAUGCGCAGAUAUCAGGAGGAACACCGGUGG
RNAcentral lists this ribosomal RNA (680 nucleotides) under Schaalia radingae. Its description in RNAcentral is "bacterial SSU rRNA". It matches the Rfam family "Bacterial small subunit ribosomal RNA", at positions 52 to 715 of the family's 1533-position model. Lineage: Bacteria; Bacillati; Actinomycetota; Actinomycetes; Actinomycetales; Actinomycetaceae. The record is from RNAcentral.